This 252-nucleotide ribosomal RNA is filed under the name uncultured bacterium. RNAcentral describes it as "partial 16S ribosomal RNA". It matches the Rfam family "Bacterial small subunit ribosomal RNA", at positions 524 to 776 of the family's 1533-position model. The record is from RNAcentral.
UACGUAGGUCCCGAGCGUUGUCCGGAUUUAUUGGGCGUAAAGCGAGCGCAGGUGGUUUAUUAAGUCUGGUGUAAAAGGCAGUGGCUCAACCAUUGUAUGCAUUGGAAACUGGUAGACUUGAGUGCAGGAGAGGAGAGUGGAAUUCCAUGUGUAGCGGUGAAAUGCGUAGAUAUAAGGAGGAACAUCGGUGGCGAAAGCGGCUCUCUGGCCUGUAACUGACACUGAGGCUCGAAAGCGUGGGGAGCAAACAGG